CGUAGUUGAUCGAUGGCUCAGGACGACGCUGGCGGCGUGCCUAAUACAUGCAAGUCGAGCGGGACCAAAGGGAGCUUGCUCCUGGAGGUUAGCGGCGAACGGGUGAGUAACACGUGGGCAACCUGCCUGUAAGACUGGGAUAACAUCGAGAAAUCGGUGCUAAUACCGGAUAAUAAAAAGAACUGCAUGGUUCUUUUUGAAAGAUGGUUUCGGCUAUCACUUACAGAUGGGCCCGCGGCGCAUUAGCUAGUUGGUGAGGUAACGGCUCACCAAGGCGACGAUGCGUAGCCGACCUGAGAGGGUGAUCGGCCACACUGGGACUGAGACACGGCCCAGACUCCUACGGGAGGCAGCAGUAGGGAAUCUUCCGCAAUGGACGAAAGUCUGACGGAGCAACGCCGCGUGAGUGAUGAAGGUUUUCGGAUCGUAAAACUCUGUUGUUAGGGAAGAACAAGUGCCGUUCGAAAGGGCGGCACCUUGACGGUACCUAACGAGAAAGCCACGGCUAACUACGUG
RNAcentral lists this ribosomal RNA (516 nucleotides) under uncultured bacterium. RNAcentral's name for it is "bacterial SSU rRNA". It matches the Rfam family "Bacterial small subunit ribosomal RNA", at positions 1 to 507 of the family's 1533-position model. The record is from RNAcentral.